Molecule: ribosomal RNA, 468 nt
Filed under: uncultured bacterium
Lineage: Bacteria
Description: partial 16S ribosomal RNA
Rfam family: Bacterial small subunit ribosomal RNA
Source: RNAcentral
GACGAACGCUGGCGGCGUGCUUAACACAUGCAAGUCGAACGGAAAGGCCCUGCUUUUGUGGGGUGCUCGAGUGGCGAACGGGUGAGUAACACGUGAGUAACCUGCCCUUGACUUUGGGAUAACUUCAGGAAACUGGGGCUAAUACCGGAUAGGAGCUCCUGCUGCAUGGUGGGGGUUGGAAAGUUUCGGCGGUUGGGGAUGGACUCGCGGCUUAUCAGCUUGUUGGUGGGGUAGUGGCUUACCAAGGCUUUGACGGGUAGCCGGCCUGAGAGGGUGACCGGCCACAUUGGGACUGAGAUACGGCCCAGACUCCUACGGGAGGCAGCAGUGGGGAAUAUUGCACAAUGGUCGGAAGCCUGAUGCAGCAACGCCGCGUGCGGGAUGACGGCCUUCGGGUUGUAAACCGCUUUCGCCUGUGACGAAGCGUGAGUGACGGUAAUGGGUAAAGAAGCACCGGCUAACUACGUG